ACGGCCAUAGGUCGCAACGUCCCCUCCAGCCGACCUAGUCGCGCCAAGACCCACUUAUAUGUCAUUACAAUUCCUGCCAAGAGCGCGGGGCUCCUAGGUUGUCACUCAAGCAGUCCUGACAUCAUCACUUUUAAACUGACCUACGACCCCGACUGGGAUAAGCAGUAGGAUGAAUGACUUGGUUGAUGCUGAUCUAAAGCAGUUACCCAACCCAGUCUUCAGGGACCCACAGAUGAUCCAAGUUUUUGCAAAAACGUGGACUGUAUGGAGUUCAGAUUGGAAAACACUGAUCUAAAGCGAUUUAACUUUUUUAUACUCCUCUCUAUUUAACUGGAGCAGCCUAGAAUGAGUACUUUCCUUAAGGGUACAACAGAGAAGACCCUUUUGUGACUUAAAUCACUAAUAAUGAGGCUGUAAUUUUGUGCUUAAUAUCCUGCCAAUCUGCAAAAUCUCCUUUUUUUAUAAGUAUGGGAUUAAAUAACAGUUUGUUGCUGAGCAAAGAUUGCAUUUGCCUGUAUAGUCCUACUAAUUCAUGGUUUUUCGAGAAAUAAAAAAAAAACUCUUCAGA
Long non-coding RNA from Brienomyrus brachyistius, 568 nucleotides. RefSeq lists it as uncharacterized. NCBI's taxonomy places the organism in Eukaryota, Metazoa, Chordata, Actinopteri, Osteoglossiformes, Mormyridae. The record is from RefSeq and is a predicted model, not a curated record. The transcript has 2 exons.